UGACAUUCAGUUCUGAAACCAGUGUAGCUUCAGAUAGAUAACAGGCAGUUAGAUUAUUCAACUGAUAACAGAAGUUUAGCAGAAUACUUUAUCUGUAGUGUAAAAUUACUUACAUAUAGGCCUAUAAUAUUUUGGCAAAUUAAGAGGCGACAAGAUUUAUCGAUUAAAUUGAAUUCAAAUUUAUUUAACUAAACCAAGAAACAGGUCUGAAUUUGUUCACAAUCUCUGUUCAGUGGUGCACUAUUUUUUGCUUCUAUUAAUUUGGAUUUUGUCUGAGACGUCAAUUAUUGCAAGAUUACCUACCUGAAAAUGAUUUUAAUCAUUCUGGAAAUAAUCAUCAUUACCUCGCACUCAUCAUAUCAGGUUCUGGGCGAUGAAAAUGUGUACAGAAAUUUCUUCAGAAAAAUAUCAAAUAGCAAUGGAGUUUCUAAUAGUUUUUUGAUGAACUCUGUUUGGAAUGCUCUAUCCACAAUAGAAGAUGUAGACAUGGAAAAUGUGUGUCUCAAGGAUUUGAAAUUAUUCGAGGAGUCCUAUAUCAGAGGAACGAUUUGGGCUUUAAGAAUGCUUGAUGCUACAUCCAAUUUCCAUUCUGGUUUUCUGCAAGGAAAUAUCAUAAAUCUUGGUGAUUUUAAACAAUGUUUGGCAAUUGUUGAAAGAUCUCCCCAUGUAAAAAAGCAAUUCAAUGAUAGUGAGGGAGAAUAUCAUAAAAGCGCCAAAGAUUAUCACCGUAAUGGAGAGAAACAUCACAAUAUCCGAAAACAGUAUCAUGUUAUGAAGGAACAGCAUAAUAAUAUGGGAGAACAAUAUCACAAUAUCAGAGGACAAUACUGUAUGGUGACGUUUUUUACACCGCAGUCGAAGUUUGCUCCCUUUGUAACACAGCAUUACAAUAUUCAGAGCGCUCUAUGUGUACCUUCCAGUUGUACAGUUCACAACAUAACAGCUAUUCUGAAGAAUGGAUUACUGGAAUUAGGGCGACAGAUGUAUUUUUCUGUGGAUGAUUGUGAAACUAGUAAAAGUUUGGAACCAAAGAUUGGAGCUGUUGAAAUUACUAUUCUUGUUUUUCUGGUUCUUCUUGGUUCAACAUUGUUCAUUGCAACUGUGACAGAUAUUUUGAUGUGCUAUGGACAUUCAAAACUUCAAUUCUAUGUGGAAAAUUCGAAUAAAUACACUCAACUUCAAGGUAUUCAACAAAUUUUUCUGAUGUUUUCUCUCAGAUUGAAUGUGAGAAGUAUUUUCAAAGUAGACACCAAAAAAAAUUCUAUUGGAUGUUUACAUGGACUGAGAUUCAUCAGUGCCUGCAUGAUUCUAUCCAUUCACAGAUUAAUAACGGAUCCGCAACCAUUUACCAAUUUAUUCAUGUUGGAUAAUGAGGUAAGAAAAUGGGAUAAACUAUUCCAAAUGAAUGCCUACCUAUUUGUUGAUGUCUUCUUCCUCAUAAGUGGUCUUCUGGUGUCCUACAAUUCAGCGAGAAUCCAGAAAAUGAAUGUUCUUCAAUCUUUCAUCCACCGGUAUCUGAGGCUUACUCCACCAUUACUGGCUUGUAUAUUUCUGACAAUUCUUCUGGACAUGGUAUGUGAUGGCCCCUAUUGCAACAGCAUCAAUAGACUAUCAAAAGAGCAAUGCCUCAACAAUUCUGUGUACAAUCUCCUUUACAUCAGCAACUUGGUGAACAGCUCUGAGAGUUGUUUACCUCACACCUGGUACCUUGCUGCUGAUAUGCAACUGUACUGCAUCUCUUUCUUACUCCUUAUUAUAGCCAGAAAGCAACCUCAGCAUAUUUUUAAACUCCUGGCUGCCUAUUGGUUGUUAUCUGUCAUCAUUACAUUUGUAGUGUCUUAUGUGAAUCAAAUUCAUGCGGGAUUUAUUGGCACAACUCAUUCUUAUGAAAUAGACUCUCUGCUGUUGUAUGAACAAUUCUAUAUGAGGGCGGGGCCCUGGGUUAUAGGGUUUGCUCUCGGAUUGCUGUUGAAGGACUCGAAGAAACUCCAGCUCAAAAAGGCAGAAAUGAAGAUGGGAUGGACCUUAACUCUCAUCUGUCUAUCAAUUUCUUACUUUGGAGUCUAUCCAUUUGUUCAGUAUGGGUUUGAACACGGAGCCAUUGUAGAUAGCCUCUAUAAUACUUUCAGUCAUAGUAUUUUUGCUCUGGCGGUGGGUUGGAUUAUCUACGCUUGUCAGAAGGGCCAUGGAGGAUUUGUCAAUAGUUUUCUCUCAUCUAUUUUAUUUCAACGUCUGAGUAAAAUGACAUAUUGCUUCUACUUGGUUCACCCAUUAGUACAAGCUCUCCAAUAUUCCCAGAUUGUCUCACCAAGAACCUACAGUGAUCUAUCACAGAUUUCUCUCCUACUUGGUGAUGUACUGUACAGCUUAAUGUUUGCUGCAAUUCUGUAUGUCGCUGUGGAAGCCCCUGUCGCCAAUAUUGAGAACAGGCUUCUGGAGAAAUCAAUUCAGGGAAAACAAAAUUCAGAAUGACAGGAAUGGUAAUUUGAGUCCAAAAUUUCAAGUUAUCAAAUUCCACAGUGAUUUUCAUAUGAUUGCUAAGUACUCUAAUCAACACUCUCAAAUAUGGCAAUUUAUUACGAUGAUUCCACUAUCUGGGAUUAUACAUUACACGAUGUCACUACAAUUCUUCUCACCUUCAUACCAUACUCCAUGCUAUUACUGAUCGCAUUUGGCAUUUUCUUGAAAUAUAAGGAAAACAUCUUUGAUAUUCUGGAAAAAAUAUAUGAUUUCAAGAACCAUGGAAACAUGAACCGCUUUCUGUCUCACUCGAAAAGUACUCAGCUGUCACCAGAACAGGAACUCAUACAGAAACUUCUAGAGAACGAGAAGCUAAAGGAUCAGAAGUUGAUGGAAGUAGGUAAAAGAUACAAGGAAUGAUUGGGGACACAAAUGAGAAGUUGCAAAGCUUCUCUCAACGAUUGGAUUGUUUCCAGGAAAUGAAAGAUUUGUGUACGACAAAAUAUGGAGAAAUAACUACAACUUUUAACGACUUUUCAAACGAUGUUAUGGGAAAAAUGGAAAAAAUGAGAAUGAAUUAUCAGGAACAUGUGGGUGAAUACAUUAAUUAAUAGGAUGGUGGAAAUUAUCUGAUGAAUGCAGAUUCAGUACAAGACCCUUCAACCAAGGAUGCUGUUCAAGAUUUCAUUAAAGUCGAUUCAGAAAUAGCAGGUCCAAAUGAGAAUGAAUUGAAGAGAAACUCCAGUCACCGUAGUAGGAUCCCAGUUUUUAGGAAGAUUUCAAGUCAAACCGCACACUACAUGUAACCACUGUACAAAUAAAUGCUUCAAAUGAA
Molecule: RNA transcript, 3295 nt
Organism: Nilaparvata lugens (brown planthopper)
Lineage: Eukaryota; Metazoa; Arthropoda; Insecta; Hemiptera; Delphacidae
Gene name: nose resistant to fluoxetine protein 6-like
Exons: 18
Source: RefSeq, a predicted model, not a curated record